UAUGCAACCUACCUUUUACAGGGGAAUAGCCCGGAGAAAUCCGGAUUAAUGCCCCAUAGUAUUUAGAAUUGGCAUCGAUUUUAAAUUAAAGAUUUAUCGGUAAAAGAUGGGCAUGCGUCCUAUUAGUUAGAUGGCGUGGUAACGGCACCCCAUGACUACGAUAGGUAGGGGCCCUGAGAGGGGGAUCCCCCACACUGGUACUGAGACACGGACCAGACUCCUACGGGAGGCAGCAGUGAGGAAUAUUGGACAAUGGUCGGAAGACUGAUCCAGCCAUGCCGCGUGUAGGAAGACAGCCCUAUGGGUUUUAAACUACUUUUAUACGGGAAGAAUAAGGACUACGUGUAGUCUGAUGACGGUACCGUAAGAAUAAGCACCGGCUAACUCCGUGCCAGCAGCCGCGGUAAUACGGAGGGUGCAAGCGUUAUCCGGAAUCAUUGGGUUUAAAGGGUCCGUAGGCGGGCUGAUAAGUCAGGGGUGAAAGUUUGCAGCUUAACUGUAAAAUUGCCUUUGAUACUGUUAGUCUUGAAUUAUUGUGAAGUGGUUAGAAUGUGUAGUGUAGCGGUGAAAUGCAUAGAUAUUACACAGAAUACCAAUUGCGAAGGCAGAUCACUAACAAUA
RNAcentral lists this ribosomal RNA (621 nucleotides) under Zhouia amylolytica. Its description in RNAcentral is "bacterial SSU rRNA". It matches the Rfam family "Bacterial small subunit ribosomal RNA", at positions 118 to 737 of the family's 1533-position model. Lineage: Bacteria; Pseudomonadati; Bacteroidota; Flavobacteriia; Flavobacteriales; Flavobacteriaceae. The record is from RNAcentral.